Molecule: ribosomal RNA, 468 nt
Filed under: uncultured bacterium
Lineage: Bacteria
Description: partial 16S ribosomal RNA
Rfam family: Bacterial small subunit ribosomal RNA
Source: RNAcentral
GAUGAACGCUGGCGGCGUGCCUAAUACAUGCAAGUCGAACGGAAAGGCGAUGCUUUUGCGGGGUGCUCGAGUGGCGAACGGGUGAGUAAAACGCGAGUAAACUGCCCUUGACUUUGGGAUAACUUCAGGAAACAGGGGCUAAUACAGGAUAGGAGCUCCUGCAGCAUGGUGGGGGUUGGAAAGAUUCGGCGGUUGGGGAUGGGCUCGCGGCUUAUCAGCUUGCUGGUGGGGUAGUGGCUUACCAAGGUUUUGAAGGGUAGGCCGCCUGGGAGGGUGAACGGCCACAUAGGGUCUGAGGGGCGGCCCCGACUCCUACGGUAGGCAGCAGUGGGGAAUAUUGCACGAGGGGCGGAAGCCUGAUGCAGCAGCGCCGCGUGCCGGAUAACGGCCUUCUUGUUGUAAACCGCUUGCGCCUGUGACUAAGCGUGAGUGACGGUUACGGGUAAAGAAGCCCCGGCUUACUACCGU